RNAcentral lists this transfer RNA (73 nucleotides) under Haliaeetus albicilla (white-tailed eagle). It matches the Rfam family "tRNA". From Rfam's summary of the family: Transfer RNA (tRNA) molecules are approximately 80 nucleotides in length. Their secondary structure includes four short double-helical elements and three loops (D, anti-codon, and T loops). Lineage: Eukaryota; Metazoa; Chordata; Aves; Accipitriformes; Accipitridae. The record is from Rfam by way of RNAcentral.
UCCUGGCUGGCUCAGUCAGGAGAGCAUGAGACUUUUAAUCUCAGGCUCGUGGGUUCAGGCCCCACGUUGGGCA